RNAcentral lists this unclassified non-coding RNA (1121 nucleotides) under Hevea brasiliensis (rubber tree). Lineage: Eukaryota; Viridiplantae; Streptophyta; Magnoliopsida; Malpighiales; Euphorbiaceae. The record is from RNAcentral.
GUGAAACUCAAUUUUAUUCAUAAAUAUAUUAUAAGAAAAAAAAAGAAAAAAGGAACCAGGUAAGCAGGUUGGCAAAUGGAAAAAAGGAAAUAGACCUUGUCUUCGUGUGUAUGAAUGGGAGAGAUUUGCUUAUAUUUGCUUGUUUGUUUGACAGUCUGUCAUCUCUCUUUCUUCUCUUAUAUAUAUUAUUAAUCUUCUUUCAUUCACAUUUACUUGUUUCUUUUUUCUGAGAAGAAGAGAGACCUGAGACAACCUUGGCUUCCAAGCCAUGAGUCUCUUCGGCCUCGGUAGCAGAAACCAGAAGACAUUUCGGCCUAAGAAGAAUGCUCCAUCUGGAAGCAAGGGUGCUCAACUUAAAAACCACAUAGAUGCUACCUUGGGUAGUGGGAACCUAAGAGAAGCGGUGCGACUGCCUCCUGGAGAAGAUAUCAAUGAGUGGCUGGCCGUUAACACUGUGGACUUUUUCAAUCAAGUGAACAUUCUAUAUGGAACUCUUACAGAGUUCUGCACAGCAUCAAACUGUCCAACAAUGACUGCAGGACCAAAAUAUGAGUAUAGAUGGGCUGAUGGAGUUACCAUCAAGAAACCGAUUGAGGUGUCUGCUCCAAAAUAUGUUGAAUAUCUGAUGGAUUGGAUUGAGUCUCAGCUAGAUGAUGAGAUGAUUUUCCCUCAAAAAUUGGGGCCACCUUUUCCACCAAAUUUCCGAGAUGUUGUCAAGACAAUCUUUAAGCGGUUGUUCCGAGUAUUUGCUCACAUCUACCAUGAGCAUUUUCAGAAGAUUGUGAGUUUGAAGGAAGAAGCUCAUCUUAAUACUUGCUUUAAGCAUUUUGUUCUCUUUACAUGGGAAUUCCGCUUGAUUGAUAAAGGGGAGCUUGCACCUCUACAAGAACUUGUUGAGUCUAUUCUGCAGUUAUAGUGUCCUGUGAAUCUCUUUCUUAAAAGAUUUUAGAUUUUAAUUAAUUAGCAUGAAUGUUUUGGCUACACAUUUUUGUGAGCUUCCAAUUGUUCAUGCCCUUGGUUGAUUUUUUUUUUUAAUAUAAAAGAAAUGACUUGAUAAGCUUAUAAAAUGAAAACAGAUUUUGGAUUCCAACUAUAAUGAAUUUACGCCAGUUCAAUGUUCC